Molecule: long non-coding RNA, 1607 nt
Filed under: Androctonus crassicauda
Lineage: Eukaryota; Metazoa; Arthropoda; Arachnida; Scorpiones; Buthidae
Source: RNAcentral
AAAUGUAAUAGCUAAAUGACAUUAAAUGAAACAAUGUUAAAUGAGGACCCACUGUAUUUGUUAACAAAUGACAUGUAGAAUUUAAUAUGAGACAGAUUCAAAAAGUUUCUGGAAUUAUUCUCUACCAUGGGAAUGAAACUUGCUCAUGAGAUUUUCAAUUUCUAAGAUUGGAAACAUCCAUGACAUCAUCUGAUGACGAGUGUUGAUAUCUCACUUCCUGUUUUUGUGAAGCACCACAAUUUGUUUGUUUAACUUGUGUUCAGUAAUAUCUGUGACUGAGCAAUGUACAAGGAUCAAAUUUUGUUUUGUUUCAUAAAUCACCAUCAGAAACAUGCUUAAAAAAGCAUAUGGUGAAACAGUAAUGAAGAAAUUGCAAGUUUAUGUGUGGCAUAAGUGUUUCUGUAUAUACAAAAACACUUAUGCUAUACAUAAACUUACACUGUAUGACAGAUGCCCACUACGAUACUCUGCAUGGCAGAUGUCUGUCUAUGCAGAUAUAAAUUGCUCAUUAAUUGCUGAAAACAUUGAAAGUAUAUGCAAUAUUAUCUAAUGUGACUGAAGAUAAACUGUAAAAGAAAUUUUGUCAGAGGUAGGAAUAUCAGAUGGAGAUAUUUAUAGUAUUUUCACAAUUAUUUGGAUAUACAUUAUGUUUGUCAAUACUUGGUUCCAAAAAUGUUGACUUCUCAGCAUAAUAAGGACACAAAUGACCCUUGCCAGGGACCUAAUUACUUUAGCUGUUAAAGAUGACAUUUUUCCAAGCAAUAUAUUGGUAAUCACAGAAGGGAACAUAGUGUUUUUUGUAUGAUCUACAGAUUAGGGCCAGCUUUAGGGUUGGACAAGCUGGAUGGUUGCUCAGAGUCACAAGUUAGUUGGGGCUGGUUCCCACUAUAGCUAUGUUCUGACUUUGUCUUCAACACCAUCAAAAGUGUUCACACCACCAUCUGUAUAUCGAUCCAUCUAGUCAAUGAGCUAAUGCAAAGCUGUAAGGGCUGGUUCCCACUACAGCUAUGUUCUGUCUUUGUCUCCAACUCCAUCAAAAAUGUUCACAUUGCCAUCUCUACAUUGAUCCAUCUAGCCAAUGAGCUAAUGCAAUAAAAAUUGAAGACCAAGUCAAUCACAAACAAGUUUAUAAAAAGGUUUAUACAAACAAAAUGGAUGACUGUGUUGCUUGGGAUUAUGCAUUAUGUUUAGUGCCAAUAACAUGUGCAAAUGCUAAAGGAAAGAAAAUAGUCUCUUUAAUGUAAAUGACUGUCAAACUUAUAAUUAAAACUGGCAGAUUACUGUAUUUUAGAUCAAAAAGGGAAAGACAAACAACUCGGUGGCAGAGCAGUGGUCAAAAAUAUUUGCAAAAAGAAAUCGAUCGUGAAAUUCAAAAAGUAAUUAGAAAUUUACUGUUUGAAUUAAUUGCUACAGCUGAAAACAAACAACAGUAUAAAUGUCAAAACAGUUUAUGAUAGACUGACAAAUGUAAUAGAAUUUGUGAUUUUUAUGGAGUACAAAUGCAAAAGGCAAUACUAUUCCAAUUCUACUUGCUAUUAUUUCAAAAUAUAACAAAACAGUCCAAUUAGCAAGUACUAGACAUCAGACCUUUAUUUUGUAUAACAUUU